AGAGUUUGAUCAUGGCUCAGGAUGAACGCUGGCGGCGUGCCUAAUACAUGCAAGUCGAACGGAGGGUAGCAAUACCCUUAGUGGCGAACGGGUGAGUAACGCGUUGGUACCUGCCCCGAAGUGAGGGAUAACGGGACGAAAGUCUCGCUAAUACCCCAUGUGCUCCGUAAGGAGUAAAGGAGAAAUCCGCUUUGGGAGGGGCCUGCGUCCCAUCAGCUAGUUGGUAAGGUAACGGCUUACCAAGGCGAUGACGGGUAGGGGACCUGAGAGGGUGAACCCCCACAAUGGAACUGAAACACGGUCCAUACACCUACGGGUGGCAGCAGUAGGGAAUAUUGGUAAUGGGCGCAAGCCUGAACCAGCAACGCCGCGUGUGCGAUGAAGGCCUUCGGGUUGUAAAGCACUCUUUGUCGGGACGAGGAAGGACGGUACCGGCAGAAUAAGCCUCGGCUAACUACGUGCCAGCAGCCGCGGUAAAACGUAGGAGGCGAGCGUUAUCCGGAUUUACUGGGUGUAAAGCGCAUGCAGGCGGUUGGCUAAGUUGGAUGUGAAAGCUCCUGGCUUAACUGGGAGAGGUCGUUCAAGACUGGUCGACUCGAGGAUGGUAAGGGAAAGCGGAAUUCCGGGUGUAGUGGUGAAAUGCGUAGAUAUCCGGAGGAACACCAGUGGCGAACGCGGCUUUCUGGACCAUGACUGACGCUCAGAUGCGAAAGCUAGGGUAGCAAACGGGAUUAGAGACCCCGGUAGUCCUAGCCGUAAACGAUGUGACUUGGCGGUGGAUGGGUAAACCGAUCCCUGCCGAGCUACGCGAUAAGUUCACCACCUGGGGACUACGCCGCAGUAAACUCAAAGGAUG
Molecule: ribosomal RNA, 856 nt
Filed under: uncultured bacterium
Lineage: Bacteria
Description: bacterial SSU rRNA
Rfam family: Bacterial small subunit ribosomal RNA
Source: RNAcentral